UGCGCAGAAAAACCAACUCAAAAAAACAAUGAAUCGAGCGAAGGAUGUAAACAAGCCGAAAAGCUAAAGCUCCGAACCUCCGCACGCUCAGGCAAAAAACGCUCAUACAUGUCAGGACCCUCCAGCCAAAAAGAUUCUUCCACCUCCUCGCCAAAAAUGCGGAGGAUAGGAUACAACAACUGUAUCAACACAUCAAACCGAGUCACAUAAAAGGAAAUAGCCUACGACAAACAAAAAACAAAAUAAAAACCACCACCUAAGCCGGAGGCCAUGAACCUCGGUGCGCAAGCGACCGGACGAAUUCAGAUCGUUCGUCAUCUAGGUCAUAUCCAACAAACUCAAACAUAUCUACCACUCUCAUGUUAGGGAAGGCAAUCCGCCAGUACUCCCACAACUCGCCAGAAGCAUAAAUCCCUUUGUAGAAAAUCGAAAGGGGAGUAAUGCAAUGAUCCUGCGCAGGUCCUCCGCCAGAGACCUGCGCAGGAUCAAAGUGUAAAACAAAGGCUUAUCCGAAAACAACUCAAUAUAUUACAUUUUCAACAGUCUUUACAAGUUAAUCAAAACCUCCGACAUUUCUUACAAAAAAGCGUCGCAUGUGCAGCAGACGCAAAAAACUAACAAAACCUACAAACUAAAUAACCUCACACCUGAGGCGGAGGAGGAGCACAAGUCUCGGGCUGCGCUGAAGCUUUGGCGCCAGAUUCCUCCGGAGCCUUAGCACCUGCGUCACGAACCUCCGCUUCAGC
RNAcentral lists this long non-coding RNA (746 nucleotides) under Sorghum bicolor (sorghum). RNAcentral describes it as "long non-coding RNA (SBIC_LNC007533)". The record is from RNAcentral. Lineage: Eukaryota; Viridiplantae; Streptophyta; Magnoliopsida; Poales; Poaceae.